GACGAACGCUGGCGGCGUGCUUAACACAUGCAAGUCGAGCGGUAAGGCCCUUUCGGGGGUACACGAGCGGCGAACGGGUGAGUAACACGUGGGUGACCUGCCCUUAGCUCUGGGAUAAGCCUGGGAAACUGGGUCUAAUACCGGAUAUGACUCCAUGACGCAUGUUGUGGGGUGGAAAGCCUUGUGCGGCUAGGGAUGGGCCCGCGGCCUAUCAGCUUGUUGGUGGGGUGAUGGCCACCAAGGCGACGACGGGUAGCCGGCCUGAGAGGGCGACCGGCCACACUGGGACUGAGACACGGCCCAGACUCCUACGGGAGGCAGCAGUGGGGAAUCUUGCGCAAUGGGCGAAAGCCUGACGCAGCGACGCCGCGUGGGGAUGACGCCU
RNAcentral lists this ribosomal RNA (385 nucleotides) under uncultured bacterium. RNAcentral describes it as "bacterial SSU rRNA". It matches the Rfam family "Bacterial small subunit ribosomal RNA", at positions 28 to 416 of the family's 1533-position model. The record is from RNAcentral.